UUCUGGUUGAUCCCGCCGGACCUGACUGCUAUCGGAUUGAUACUAAGCCAUGCGAGUCUUUGUAGUAAUACAAGGCAGACGGCUCAGUAACACGUAGUCAACCUACCCUAUGGACGAGAAUAAUCUCGGGAAACUGAGCAUAAUUCUUGAUAGAUCAUAAUGCCUGGAAUGGUUUACGGUUAAAAUGAUUCGCCGCCAUAGGAUGGGACUGCGGCCUAUCAGCUUGUUGGUGAGGUAAUGGCCCACCAAGGCGAUUACAGGUACGGGCUCUGAGAGGAGAAGCCCGGAGAUGGGUACUGAGACACGGACCCAGGCCCUAUGGGGCGCAGCAGGCGAGAAAACUUUGCAAUGUGCGAAAGCACGACAAGGUUAAUCCGAGUGAUUUCUGCUAAAGAAAUCUUUUGCCAGUCGUAAAACCGCUGGUGAAUAAGGGGUGGGCAAGUUCUGGUGCCAGCAGCCGCGGUAAU
RNAcentral lists this ribosomal RNA (467 nucleotides) under uncultured archaeon. RNAcentral's name for it is "bacterial SSU rRNA". It matches the Rfam family "Archaeal small subunit ribosomal RNA", at positions 1 to 474 of the family's 1478-position model. The record is from RNAcentral.